Molecule: ribosomal RNA, 329 nt
Filed under: uncultured Aquabacterium sp.
Lineage: Bacteria; Pseudomonadati; Pseudomonadota; Betaproteobacteria; Burkholderiales; Sphaerotilaceae
Description: bacterial SSU rRNA
Rfam family: Bacterial small subunit ribosomal RNA
Source: RNAcentral
CAGCAGCCGCGGUAAUACGUAGGGUGCGAGCGUUAAUCGGAAUUACUGGGCGUAAAGCGUGCGCAGGCGGCUUUGCAAGACAGAGGUGAAAUCCCCGGGCUCAACCUGGGAACUGCCUUUGUGACUGCAAGGCUAGAGUACGGCAGAGGGGGAUGGAAUUCCGCGUGUAGCAGUGAAAUGCGUAGAUAUGCGGAGGAACACCGAUGGCGAAGGCAAUCCCCUGGGCCUGUACUGACGCUCAUGCACGAAAGCGUGGGGAGCAAAACAGGAUUAGAUACCCUGGUAGUCCACGCCCUAAACGAUGUCAACUGGUUGUUGGACGGCUUGCU